Molecule: long non-coding RNA, 1136 nt
Organism: Callithrix jacchus (white-tufted-ear marmoset)
Lineage: Eukaryota; Metazoa; Chordata; Mammalia; Primates; Cebidae
Source: RefSeq, a predicted model, not a curated record
UCACUCUGUCACCCAGGCUGGAGUGCCCUGGCAUCCUGGCUCACUGCAAGCUCUACCUCCUGGGUUCAAAUGAUUGUUCUGCCUCAGACUCCCAAGAAGUUGGAAUUACAGAUGCAUACUACCACACCCAGCAAAUUUUCGUAUUUUUAGUAGAGACAUUAAUAACAGUCAUUCUAACUGGAAUAAGAUGAUCCACAGAUCUUAGAUGAAGAUGGUAGACAACACUCACAAUAUGAAAGAGGAGCUGAUCCCUGAGUCACAACUUGAAGGGUAAAUGAGUUUUUGAGACUUUCUUGGAAGAAAUGGAUCUGAAAAACAGAGUUUGGAGAAAGAAAUGAAAGCAGAAAAAAAUAAAAUGUUGUCCACUGAUGAAAACAUGGCAGAUGUAUUCUCAUGGCUUCAACCCGCUCCUUGAAGACAUCUGAUUCUUUUACUCACAACCUUCUGCUACUAUAUCAAAGGGCCCUAAAUCUUAUAUGAUUGUGGGCUCUAAAUCCAAUAUGACUGUCGUCCUUUUAAGAAGAGGAAAACUUGAAAAAAAAAAGGGAAGAGGAAAACUUGGAUGUAGUCUCAGACACAUUGGGUAGAAGGCCAUGGGAAGACAGAGGCAGAGAUGGGCAUGAUGUAUUUAUAAAUUGAGGAAUGUCCAGUAUUGCUGACAACCAUAGAAGAGGCAAGGAAGAAUUUUUCCUGGAGACCUCAGUGGAGCCAUGUCUCUGUCUAUACCUUAUUUUUUCUGAUUCCUCACUUAUAAAACUAUGAAAGAACACGUUAAUGUUGUUUUAGCCACUCAGUUUGUGGCAUUUUUUACCAUAGCCCUAGAAAUCUAACAUACCUGUUGAGAUGGCGUAUGACAAAUUUCUCUACUGUAAAGCUACUAUAAUGCCCUUAUUUUCACACAAUACACUCAAUCCAGUCCACAUUCAAGGGGAAGGGAAUUAAGCUUUAUCAUCUAGAGGAAGGGUAUCAAAUAAAUUGUGGACACAUGGUAAAACCACCACAAUAACUAAUAAACGCUUUUGGGAAAUAUGUCAAAUCUUUGCAAAUACCCUAUUUUUUUAAAGGGUUUGCUCAGUAAUUUUAGUAUUCAUCAUUGGAUUUUGCCUGCAACAGUUAUUAGUGUAGUGUUCUAAUGG